Molecule: transfer RNA, 104 nt
Filed under: Pseudomonas fontis
Lineage: Bacteria; Pseudomonadati; Pseudomonadota; Gammaproteobacteria; Pseudomonadales; Pseudomonadaceae
Description: tRNA-OTHER
Source: RNAcentral
GCGGGCGUCGUAACCUAUUGAUUUUACUGGUCUAUAAUUGGCCGGUCAUGAUUUAGGUUCCAGCGCCGAAAGGUGUAAGAGUUCGAGUCUCUUCGUCCGCACCA